RNAcentral lists this ribosomal RNA (446 nucleotides) under uncultured bacterium. RNAcentral's name for it is "partial 16S ribosomal RNA". It matches the Rfam family "Bacterial small subunit ribosomal RNA", at positions 330 to 792 of the family's 1533-position model. The record is from RNAcentral.
GCCAGACUCCUACGGGAGGCAGCAGUGGGGAAUAUUGCACAAUGGGGGAAACCCUGAUGCAGCGACGCCGCGUGAGUGAAGAAGUAUUUCGGUAUGUAAAGCUCUAUCAGCAGGAACGAGACAAGACGGUACCUGACUAAGAAGCCCCGGCUAACUACGUGCCAGCAGCCGCGGUAAUACGUAGGGGGCAAGCGUUAUCCGGAAUCACUGGGUGUAAAGGGAGCGUAGACGGCUGUGCAAGCCUGAAGUGAAAGGCGGGGGCCCAACCCCUGGACUGCUUUGGGAACUGUACGGCUGGAGUGCAGGAGAGGUAAGUGGAAUUCCUAGUGUAGCGGUGAAAUGCGUAGAUAUUAGGAGGAACACCAGUGGCGAAGGCGGCUUACUGGACUGUAACUGACGUUGAGGCUCGAAAGCGUGUGGAGCAAACAGGAUUAGAUACCCGGGUA